GCCAGGCAUGGUGGCACAUGCCUGUAAUCCCAGUGGCUCAGGAGGCUGAGGCAAGAGGCUAGCUAGUUGAAAACCAGUCUCAGCAACUUACUGAAGCCCUCAGCAACUUAUGAGACCUUGUCUCAA
Molecule: small RNA, 126 nt
Filed under: Marmota monax (woodchuck)
Lineage: Eukaryota; Metazoa; Chordata; Mammalia; Rodentia; Sciuridae
Source: RNAcentral